AUGGAUGCCGGAUCAGUCGACAAGGACGUCUUUGUUGACCUGUCUCCGUUGGCAGCGUCUGUUGGUGUGAUCGAAAAGCAGAAUGAGCGCGAGGGCAGGCACCCUAUGGCUUUCACGGCACCACCAUUCAGCCUCGGAAUUGAUUUGAGCCACCCAAUCGAGCCAGUUGAUGCUAUCCUAGUGUCUUAUGCAUUCCCGUCCCAGCCGGACCAGAUGAUGGCGCAACCAAUUGUUGAUGGUAGAAAGGCUGUCAAAUUUGCCGAGCCUAUUGUUCAAGGAUCACCUGUGGAGAUAUCAUCAUCAAUGGAUGAAGCGCUAUGCAAGAUGGAGCAGGAUGUGGUCCUCAGGAAAAAAUUGCAGACAAAAGCCCCUUCUAGCUCACCUGUUGCACAUGCUACCACUUCUGUUGAUGUGCACAGCAGUGCCACCCCAGGUUCUGUGCGGCUGGCAAGGGUUGUGCAACCCCCCCCCCGGAAGUGGACUCUGAACCUCCAAUAA
Molecule: ribosomal RNA, 498 nt
Filed under: Triticum aestivum (bread wheat)
Lineage: Eukaryota; Viridiplantae; Streptophyta; Magnoliopsida; Poales; Poaceae
Description: partial small subunit ribosomal RNA
Source: RNAcentral